GUCAGGUGCUUGUGCGGAUGGAGAACGGGUUUAAGGUCUGCUGUGUGGCUCCUCGACCGUCUGAGCCUGAUGUGUUUCUGUGUGGAGGCUUCAGUCCAGAGGUCAGAGCCUGGGACUCACGCUGCUGUAAGGAGAGAUAUACCUGUCCCUGUCUCACAGCUCAUCCGCUGGACAACAGCUUCAUCGCUCAGACCAACGGAAACUACAUCGCACUGUUCUCAGACCAGCGGCCCUACCGCAUGAACAAGAGACGCAGAUAUGAGGGACACAAGGUGGAGGGGUUUGCAGUGCAUUGUGGGUUCUCUGCAGACGGCAGUGUCGUGGCCUCUGGGAGCUCCACCGGUUCUGUCCACUUCUAUGACUAUCAGAGCUCGAGGACACUGAAGACACUACAGGCUCAUGAGGAUGCGUGUGUGUGUGUGGAGAUGCAUCCCAUAAUCCCUGGCGUCGCCGCCACCGCAGACUGGACUGGUCAGAUCAAUCUGUGGACGUGA
Molecule: long non-coding RNA, 494 nt
Filed under: Danio rerio (zebrafish)
Lineage: Eukaryota; Metazoa; Chordata; Actinopteri; Cypriniformes; Danionidae
Description: lncRNA (ENSDARG00000117294.1)
Source: RNAcentral